This 250-nucleotide ribosomal RNA is filed under the name uncultured prokaryote. RNAcentral describes it as "partial 16S ribosomal RNA". It matches the Rfam family "Bacterial small subunit ribosomal RNA", at positions 524 to 773 of the family's 1533-position model. The record is from RNAcentral.
UACGUAGGGGGCGAGCGUUGUCCGGAAUGAUUGGGCGUAAAGGGCGCGUAGGCGGCCUGCUAAGUCUGGAGUGAAAGUCCUGCUUUCAAGGUGGGAAGUGCUUUGGAUACUGGCGGGCUGGAGUGCAGGAGAGGAAAGCGGAAUUACCGGUGUAGCGGUGAAAUGCGUAGAGAUCGGUAGGAACACCAGUGGCGAAGGCGGCUUUCUGGACUGAAACUGACGCUGAGGCGCGAAAGCGUGGGGAGCAAAC